Molecule: non-coding RNA, 342 nt
Organism: Vicia faba (fava bean)
Lineage: Eukaryota; Viridiplantae; Streptophyta; Magnoliopsida; Fabales; Fabaceae
Source: the annotation of a GenBank genome assembly
AUGGCAAAUACAACAACAAGCUUACAUCUACUCUCUCUGAACCAAGCAAGGCACACAAGCCUUAGCAGAAUAUCGAUGAGAAUUAUGAUCAUGAAAAUGGUGAGCCAAGAACAAUUUGAAAAGUUACUGCUUCACAUGAACAUUUCACUAGACAAGAACAAUCACAAAAAGGGACACAACACAUACAUUUCUGUAAAAUAUAAUGCGAACAUAGUCUCCUUGCGAGAAUUGCGUCUCAAGAUCCUUGCAAGCCGCUGCAGCAAUAUCCAUAUAGAUCACACGCUUCACGAUAAGAUAGAGAGACUGAAUUUUCGAUCCAGGAAUGGUAUUUCUUACCAUUGA